CCUACGGGAGGCAGCGGUGGGGAAUAUUGGACAAUGGGGGCAACCCUGAUCCAGCCAUGCCGCGUGUGUGAAGAAGGCCCUCGGGUUGUAAAGCACUUUCAGUGAGGAAGAACGCCUGGUGGUUAAUACCCAUCAGGAAAGACAUCACUCACAGAAGAAGCACCGGCUAACUCCGUGCCAGCAGCCGCGGUAAUACGGAGGGUGCGAGCGUUAAUCGGAAUUACUGGGCGUAAAGCGCGCGUAGGUGGCUUGAUAAGCCGGUUGUGAAAGCCCCGGGCUCAACCUGGGAACGGCAUCCGGAACUGUCAAGCUAGAGUGCAGGAGAGGAAGGUAGAAUUCCCGGUGUAGCGGUGAAAUGCGUAGAGAUCGGGAGGAAUACCAGUGGCGAAGGCGGCCUUCUGGACUGACACUGACACUGAGGUGCGAAAGCGUGGGUAGCAAACAGGAUUAGAUACCCCUGUAGUC
Molecule: ribosomal RNA, 465 nt
Filed under: Vreelandella stevensii
Lineage: Bacteria; Pseudomonadati; Pseudomonadota; Gammaproteobacteria; Oceanospirillales; Halomonadaceae
Description: partial 16S ribosomal RNA
Rfam family: Bacterial small subunit ribosomal RNA
Source: RNAcentral